GCGAUCCACGCAAAACAACAAAAUAGAAAGGAAAUGAAGUAUUUGUCGACGCAAGGCUCUAAAUCAAUGGCAGCGAUCCGUAACGAAUAUGAUGAACCUGAUGAGCAUGCUAUUGAUGCUUGGAAAGAUACUCAUAUAAAAAAAUCUACGAAGACUUGGGUUAGCGAAACUUGCAAAGAACUACAUGAACAAAUGACCCAAGAGAUGGAGAGGCAAAAUAUUCAAAGUAGUCGGUCAGGUUCUGAAUCUGCUUCUAGUGAA
This is a long non-coding RNA of Humulus lupulus (European hop), 261 nucleotides long. RefSeq lists it as uncharacterized. The transcript has 3 exons. The record is from RefSeq and is a predicted model, not a curated record. Lineage: Eukaryota; Viridiplantae; Streptophyta; Magnoliopsida; Rosales; Cannabaceae.